Molecule: unclassified non-coding RNA, 307 nt
Filed under: plant metagenome
Description: partial contains 5.8S ribosomal RNA, internal transcribed spacer 2, and large subunit ribosomal RNA
Rfam family: 5.8S ribosomal RNA (bases 1-105)
Source: RNAcentral
GAAAUGCGAUAAGUAGUGUGAAUUGCAGAAUUUAGCGAAUCAUCGAAUCUUUGAACGCACAUUGCGCCCCUUGGUAUUCCAUGGGGCAUGCCUGUUCGAGCGUCAUUUCAACCCUCAAGCACUGCUUGGUGUUGGGCGUUUGUCCCGCCUACGCGCGUGGACUCGCCUCAAAGUCAUUGGCAGCUGUUCCCCUUCGGCUCGUAAGCGCAGCACAGUCGGCGCCCGGAGCUCUGGUGGGAUGGCGUCCAGCAAGCUAUAUUUUCAGUCUUGACCUCGGAUCAGGUAGGGAUACCCGCUGAACUUAAGC